UCCCUGGUUGUCCAGUGGCUUAGACUCUGUGCUCGUAAUGCAGGGUGCCCAGGUUCAAUCCCUGGUCAGGGAA
Non-coding RNA from Bos taurus (domestic cattle), 73 nucleotides. Lineage: Eukaryota; Metazoa; Chordata; Mammalia; Artiodactyla; Bovidae. The record is from Rfam.